UAGGGAAUCUUCCGCAAUGGGCGAAAGCCUGACGGAGCAACGCCGCGUGAGUGAUGAAGGUCUUCGGAUCGUUAAACUCUGUUAUUAGGGAAGAACAAAUGUGUAAGUAACUAUGCACGUCUUGACGGUACCUAAUCAGAAAGCCACGGCUAAUUACGUGCCAGCAGCCGCGGUAAUACGUAGGUGGCAAGCGUUAUCCGGAAUUAUUGGGCGUAAAGCGCGCGUAGGCAGUUUUUUAAGCCUGAUGUGAAAGCCCACGGCUCAACCGUGGAGGGUCAUUGGAAACUGGAAAACUUGAGUGCAGAAGAGGAAAGUGGAAUUCCAUGUGUAGCGGUGAAAUGCGCAGAGAUAUGGAGGAACACCAGUGGCGAAGGCGACUUUCUGGUCUGUAACUGACGCUGAUGUGCGAAAGCGUGGGGAUCAAACAGG
This 429-nucleotide ribosomal RNA is filed under the name Actinomycetes bacterium. RNAcentral describes it as "Actinobacteria bacterium partial 16S ribosomal RNA". It matches the Rfam family "Bacterial small subunit ribosomal RNA", at positions 355 to 776 of the family's 1533-position model. Lineage: Bacteria; Bacillati; Actinomycetota; Actinomycetes. The record is from RNAcentral.